GACGAACGCUGGCGGCGUGCUUAACACAUGCAAGUCGAACGGAAAGGCCUGCUUUCCCUUGUGGAUUGCGGGUACUCGAGUGGCGAACGGGUGAGUAACACGUGAGUGAUCUGCCCCCAACUUGGGUAUAAGCCUGGGAAACUGGGUCUAAUUCCCGAUAGGACUGCAGGGUGGUGCCUGUGGUGGAAAACGAUUUUCUAGUGGUUGGGGAUGAGCUCGCGGCCUAUCAGCUUGUUGGUGGGGUAAUGGCCUACCAAGGCGGCGACGGGUAGCCGGCCUGAGAGUGUGGACGGCCACAUUGGGACUGAGAUACGGCCCAGACUCCUACGGGAGGCAGCAGUGGGGAAUAUUGCACAAUGGGCGGAAGCCUGAUGCAGCGACGCCGCGUGGGGGAUGACGGCCUUCGGGUUGUAAACUCCUUUCGACCGCGAGGAAGCCACCUGGUUGGAAGGGUGGUGACGGUAGUGGUAGAAGAAGCACCGGCUAACUACGUG
RNAcentral lists this ribosomal RNA (494 nucleotides) under uncultured bacterium. RNAcentral's name for it is "partial 16S ribosomal RNA". It matches the Rfam family "Bacterial small subunit ribosomal RNA", at positions 28 to 507 of the family's 1533-position model. The record is from RNAcentral.